Molecule: microRNA precursor, 102 nt
Filed under: Prunus dulcis (almond)
Lineage: Eukaryota; Viridiplantae; Streptophyta; Magnoliopsida; Rosales; Rosaceae
Description: sRNA ncRNA
Source: RNAcentral
UUACUUAUAUUUUAAGAGUAUAGCCGUGCGGCUAUACUGUUUAAAUAUUAGAAUAUAUUUAACGAGUAUAGCUGCGCGGCUAUACUAUUUAAAUAUUCUAAC